This 595-nucleotide ribosomal RNA is filed under the name Salmonella enterica subsp. enterica serovar Kentucky. RNAcentral describes it as "partial 23S ribosomal RNA". It matches the Rfam family "Bacterial large subunit ribosomal RNA", at positions 1 to 624 of the family's 2925-position model. Lineage: Bacteria; Pseudomonadati; Pseudomonadota; Gammaproteobacteria; Enterobacterales; Enterobacteriaceae. The record is from RNAcentral.
GGGUUGUGAGGUUAAGCGACUAAGCGUACACGGUGGAUGCCCUGGCAGUCAGAGGCGAUGAAGGACGUGCUAAUCUGCGAUAAGCGCCGGUAAGGUGAUAUGAACCGUUAUAACCGGCGGUUUCCGAAUGGGGAAACCCAGUGUGACUCGUCACACUAUCAUUAACUGAAUCCAUAGGUUAAUGAGGCGAACCGGGGGAACUGAAACAUCUAAGUACCCCGAGGAAAAGAAAUCAACCGAGAUUCCCCCAGUAGCGGCGAGCGAACGGGGAGGAGCCCAGAGCCUGAAUCAGCAUGUGUGUUAGUGGAAGCGUCUGGAAAGGCGCGCGAUACAGGGUGACAGCCCCGUACACAAAAGCGCAUGUGCUGUGAGCUCGAUGAGUAGGGCGGGACACGUGGUAUCCUGUCUGAAUAUGGGGGGACCAUCCUCCAAGGCUAAAUACUCCUGACUGACCGAUAGUGAACCAGUACCGUGAGGGAAAGGCGAAAAGAACCCCGGCGAGGGGAGUGAAAAAGAACCUGAAACCGUGUACGUACAAGCAGUGGGAGCACAGGUUUACCUGUGUGACUGCGUACCUUUUGUAUAAUGGGUCAGC